GAUGAACGCUAGCGGCAGGCCUAAUACAUGCAAGUCGAACGAGAUUAUAGGGUAAGCUUGCUUACCUUAUAUGACAGUGGCGCACGGGUGCGUAACGCGUAUGCAACCUACCUUUAUCAGGGGGAUAGCCUCUCGAAAGAGAGAUUAAUACCGCAUAAAAACACAGUACGGCAUCGUACAAUGUUCAAACAUUUAUGGGAUAGAGAUGGGCAUGCGUGACAUUAGCUAGUUGGUGAGGUAACGGCUCACC
RNAcentral lists this ribosomal RNA (250 nucleotides) under uncultured bacterium. RNAcentral describes it as "partial 16S ribosomal RNA". It matches the Rfam family "Bacterial small subunit ribosomal RNA", at positions 28 to 269 of the family's 1533-position model. The record is from RNAcentral.